Molecule: ribosomal RNA, 253 nt
Filed under: uncultured bacterium
Lineage: Bacteria
Description: partial 16S ribosomal RNA
Rfam family: Bacterial small subunit ribosomal RNA
Source: RNAcentral
UACGUAGGGGGCAAGCGUUGUCCGGAUUCAUUGGGCGUAAAGAGCGUGUAGGCGGCCAGGUAGGUCGGUUGUGAAAACUGGAGGCUCAACCUUCAGAGGUCGACCGAAACCAUCUGGCUAGAGUCCGGGAGAGGAGAGUGGAAUUCCUGGUGUAGCGGUGAAAUGCGUAGAGAUCUGGAAGAACACCAAAGGCGAAGGCAGCAUCCUGGGAAGUUCCUGACGCUCGGGUGCGAAAGCCAGGGGAGCGAACGGG